CAGAGGGUGCAAACGUUGUUCGGAUUUACUGGGCGUAAAGCGCGUGUAGGCGGCUUGGCAAGUCGGAUGUGAAAGCCCACGGCUCAACCGUGGAAGCGCAUCCGAAACGGCCUCGCUCGAGUCUCGGAGAGGAAGGUGGAAUGCUUGGUGUAGAGGUGAAAUUCGUAGAUAUCAAGCAGAACACCUGCGGCGAAGGCGGCCUUCUGGACGAUGACUGACGCUGAGACGCGAAAGCGUGGGGAGCAAACAGGAUUAGAUACCCUGGUAGUCCACGCCGUAAACGAUGAGUGCUAGGUGUCACGGGCUUUGACCCUCGUGGUGCCGUAGCUAACGCAAUAAGCACUCCGCCUGGGGAGUACGGUCGCAAGACUA
This 372-nucleotide ribosomal RNA is filed under the name uncultured organism. RNAcentral's name for it is "bacterial SSU rRNA". It matches the Rfam family "Bacterial small subunit ribosomal RNA", at positions 526 to 896 of the family's 1533-position model. The record is from RNAcentral.